CGCGGUUGUUUGUUUAUUUGUUUAUUUGCUCCGUUUGCACCUGAGAAGCUCCAGUGGCUUAAGCCGGGAAAGCAUUCUUUCUGAAAGGAGCAGGAUGGCGCCAGCCGGCUCAGUGCUUACAGACAGCUGUGGCGAGACGCAACUUAAGGAGGUUCCAGUGUCAUAAGCCCGGGGGAGGCGGAGCCUGUCCCCGCCUGAGGAGGGGACCGGGGACAGGGACCGGCGGGGCGCACCGGCCGCCUCCGCGCUGCCCCCGCCGCGCACCCGCGGGAACCCCCUUUUACCAACUUCUUUGAAUCCCCCCCCCCUUUUUUUUUUAAUUCUUCCUUUUUAAAGGGGAAGAUAAGUUUUCCCGCUGGUCGGAAAACUCUGCGAGUGGCCGCUCCGGGCAGCCAGGCGUGAAGGGGAGGCGGCCGGUUGUGCCGGCACCCCGGGGGUGCCAGGAGGGGCUGGAGCCCCCAGGGAGCGAGGCCGGGCCGCUGCGGGGAUGUGCCGGCAGGUGCAGGACCUCCGGCCGUCUGCAAUACAGCUGCCUUUACCCCGACACCGGCGGGUUUAAAGCUGCUCCGUCUCAUACAGGAUUUAAUUCUGAUUAUUUUUAAGGCCAUAAGCGCAGAGAAACGGCCGCGUUUGGGAAUAAUACGACUGGGGGGGGGGGAGGUGUUAGCUAGGGGGUUCCCUCUUCCCGCUCCACUGGAGAUGCCAGCGGCGGGCAAGCAGAGGCGGGGAGACUUUGCGGCUCAGGGCAGGGGGCGAGGGAGAGGGCUGCGGCCCGGGGGCUGCGGGAGGGACCCCCGGCCCCGCCGACCCCCCGCGGGCUCCGCGCCCGCAGCGCCGCCCGCCGCCCAGCGGGGGCCGCCGCCGCCGCAGCCAAUGGGGGGCGAGCAGGAACUGGGGAGCCGGCCCCGGGAGGCGCUGAUUGGCUGCCCGCCCGCGCCCCGCCGGCCGGCCCGGCCGCUGCGUUGAGCCAGGGCAUCCCCUAGCGGCACCGCCGGCACCACGGCUCGGCGGGGCACGGCUCGGCGGGGCUCGGCACGGCUUGGCACGGCGGGGCACGGCGCGGCACGGCACAGCGGGGCACGGCGCGGCACAGCGGGGCACGGCACUGCUCGGCUCGGCGCGGCACGGCCUGCCACCCCUCGGCGCACAGGCCAGGGGACAGACUCGGCCCCGGGGGACUGGUGGAGGGAGAGGCGGGGGGAUGGAGAAAGGGAGAGGAACACAGGAAAGAAAUAAAAGGGGGAGAGAGGGAAGAGGGAAAACACAGAAAGAGAGAAAAGGGAGAAAGAAGCGGGUGAGAGGUGGGGAAAAAGGCAAAAGCCUCAGAAAGGAAGGAAAGACGGGUAGAAAGACAGACGGGGUAGGAAAGGAAAAGAAAAAAGAAAGAAAAAGAAAAAAGGGAAAAGAAAAAGGGAAAGAAAAAAGAAAAAGGAGAGGAAAAAAGAUAAAGAAAAGAACAAAAAAAAGGAAAAAAUAAAAACAAAGGAAAAGAAAAAGAAAAGAAGAAAAAAGGAAAAGAAGAAAAAGAAAAAUAGGCGUGGAAAGGAAGAAAAGAAUAAUAAUAACAAAAUAAUUUAAAAAAAGAACUAGAAAAAGUCACUUACAGGAUGCCUUUGCGUGCCGUCUCUCCGCACGCCGGCCACAGAGCGUCUACCCGGGUGCGGGAGGAAACUCUCUCAGGAGGUUUUAUACACGGGGGGGUCUAAUUAAAACCCGGGGCCCCGCAGUCGCGGCCGCGCCGCUGCCGUUGCCUCGCCGGGGCGGUCUCCGGCCGGGCCAGCGCCGCUCCCGCGGCGGGCAGGGCUCGGCCCGUCGGUAUUCCCCCGGCCGUUCCCGCGGACGGCGCAGCUCAGCCCGGCCCGGUGCUCCCGGCCCUUGCGCCUGCUUUAAGCCCGAUUUUCAGCCGCCUGUGCAGCCCAUCCGCCGCUGGGCGUGGGGACAGCGCGGUACCGCUGAGGUCUGGUGUUUCACGGUGGCGAUGCACAGAUAUAGAUUUAUUUUAAUAACGUCAAAAAAUAAAGUCUGGGGCAGGUAUAAAACCGGAGAA
Molecule: long non-coding RNA, 2047 nt
Organism: Falco peregrinus (peregrine falcon)
Lineage: Eukaryota; Metazoa; Chordata; Aves; Falconiformes; Falconidae
Exons: 2
Source: RefSeq, a predicted model, not a curated record